Molecule: ribosomal RNA, 390 nt
Filed under: uncultured bacterium
Lineage: Bacteria
Description: bacterial SSU rRNA
Rfam family: Bacterial small subunit ribosomal RNA
Source: RNAcentral
GACGAACGCUGGCGGCGUGCUUAACACAUGCAAGUCGAGCGGUAAGGCCCUUUCGGGGGUACACGAGCGGCGAACGGGUGAGUAACACGUGGGUGACCUGCCCUCAGCUCUGGGAUAAGCCUGGGAAACCGGGUCUAAUACCGGAUAUGACUCCAUGACGCAUGUUGUGGGGUGGAAAGCCUUGUGCGGCUGAGGAUGGGCCCGCGGCCUAUCAGCUUGUUGGUGGGGNGAUGGCCUACCAAGGCGACGACGGGUAGCCGGCCGUGAGAGGGCGACCGGCCGACACUGGGACUGAGACACGGCCCAGACUCCUACGGGAGGCAGCAGUGGGGAAUCUUGCGCAAUGGGCGAAAGCCUGACGCAGCGACGCCGCGUGAGGGAUGACGGCCU